This 1316-nucleotide long non-coding RNA is filed under the name Macaca fascicularis (crab-eating macaque). RNAcentral describes it as "lncRNA (ENSMFAG00000055556.1)". Lineage: Eukaryota; Metazoa; Chordata; Mammalia; Primates; Cercopithecidae. The record is from RNAcentral.
CUCUGGACUACACCAAACGAAGUCUGGGAAUUUUCAUUGACCUCCAGAAGAGAAGGAGGCACAUGCCUGGCCGCAAGCAGGGAAGAUCUAUUACCUCCUGCGGCAGAGCGAGCUGGUGGACCUGUACAUCCAGGGGACCGGCUGAACGAACGCGUGGCCUACCACCGGCUGGCCGCCCUGCACCACCGGCUGGACCAUGGCAAGCUGGCGGAGCACUUCUACCUCAAGGCCGUUUAGCUCUGCAACUCGCCGCUGGAGUUCGACGAGGAGACCCUCUACUACGUGAAGGUGUACCUGGUGCUCGGUGACAUCAUCUUCUACGACCUGAAGGACCCGUUUGAUGCAGCCGGGUACUACCAGCUGGCACUGGCAGCCGCCGUGGACCUGGGCAACAAGAAGGCACAGCUGAAGAUCUACACGCGGCCGGCCACCAUCUCCCACAACUUCCUCCUGGACUGCGAGAAGUGGCUCUUCUUCUACCAGAAGGCCAGGACCUUCGCCACAGAGCUCAGCGUCCACAGGGUCAACCUACCUCCUCUGCCACUCUGCGGGUGGGCCCCCUGGUUGGCCUCCAGCCACCCUCGCUGAGGACAGUAUCCGAGGGAGUGGGUUUUGUGCAAGGAGGAUGAUCUCCUGCCUCUCCUGGUGUCUCCCGUAGCUCGUUUUCUGGGUAAUGGAAGCAUAAAAGCAGGGUUCAAAUAGCAAUAAAUGUUUUUUUUUGCAAAAACAUACCGAAGUCCCCAUGGCAUCCUUCCCUGUGUGCUUCCUGGGCUGUGUCUAGGGGACAGCUCCUUCCCUGGUGGCAGCCCUCUGAUCUUGGGGAUGAGAAGGACCGUGAGUCCAACAGACCUGGGCCAGGUCACCAUGAGCCUCGGUUUUCUUGGCGGCCAAAGGGGAGAUGGUGAUUGAACUCUGGGCAGCUCCCUGCUCUCCCUGCUCAGAGUUCUUGCUGUAGGUCUCGUGCCGCCUUUGCCUUUAACCUUCAGGCCACUGUGCCCGGAUGUGGGGGCUGCUAGUGUCCCUGUUCGCCAUUGAAGAAAUAGAGGCACAGAGAGGUUAGGUGUCUGGCCCACCGUCACACAGCAGGUAGAGGCGGACACGCAGAGCCCAGUACACUGACCACCACACCACCCUGCCAGCCUGCAGCCAGGAAGGUGUCCCCCAUUAGGACCCAAGGUCAGCUCCUGGAGCUCUCUCGUGGUGUCAGGAGAGCCGCAGGCCAGUGAGGGUGGCCCCGGGGAUCCCUCACUCAGUGUCCUUUGCUCCCAGACUUGGUUGGGCCGAGCCUGGCCAGUCCCACCUCUGGCCACUGGUCA